GCAAUCUGUGUGACUGCGUACCUUUUGUAUAAUGGGUCAGCGACUUAUAUUCUGUAGCAAGGUUAACCGAAUAGGGGAGCCGAAGGGAAACCGAGUCUUAACUGGGCGUUAAGUUGCAGGGUAUAGACCCGAAACCCGGUGAUCUAGCCAUGGGCAGGUUGAAGGUUGGGUAACACUAACUGGAGGACCGAACCGACUAAUGUUGAAAAAUUAGCGGAUGACUUGUGGCUGGGGGUGAAAGGCCAAUCAAACCGGGAGAUAGCUGGUUCUCCCCGAAAGCUAUUUAGGUAGCGCCUCGUGAAUUCAUCUCCGGGGGUAGAGCACUGUUUCGGCAAGGGGGUCAUCCCGACUUACCAACCCGAUGCAAACUGCGAAUACCGGAGAAUGUUAUCACGGGAGACACACGGCGGGUGCUAACGUCCGUCGUGAAGAGGGAAACAACCCAGACCGCCAGCUAAGGUCCCAAAGUCAUGGUUAAGUGGGAAACGAUGUGGGAAGGCCCAGACAGCCAGGAUGUUGGCUUAGAAGCAGCCAUCAUUUAAAGAAAGCGUAAUAGCUCACUGGUCGAGUCGGCCUGCGCGGAAGAUGUAACGGGGCUAAACCAUGCACCGAAGCUGCGGCAGCGACACUGUGUGUUGUUGGGUAGGGGAGCGUUCUGUAAGCCUGUGAAGGUGUGCUGUGAGGCAUGCUGGAGGUAUCAGAAGUGCGAAUGCUGACAUAAGUAACGAUAAAGCGGGUGAAAAGCCCGCUCGCCGGAAGACCAAGGGUUCCUGUCCAACGUUAAUCGGGGCAGGGUGAGUCGACCCCUAAGGCGAGGCCGAAAGGCGUAGUCGAUGGGAAACAGGUUAAUAUUCCUGUACUUGGUGUUACUGCGAAGGGGGGACGGAGAAGGCUAUGUUGGCCGGGCGACGGUUGUCCCGGUUUAAGCGUGUAGGCUGGUUUUCCAGGCAAAUCCGGAAAAUCAAGGCUGAGGCGUGAUGACGAGGCACUACGGUGCUGAAGCAACAAAUGCCCUGCUUCCAGGAAAAGCCUCUAAGCAUCAGGUAACAUCAAAUCGUACCCCAAACCGACACAGGUGGUCAGGUAGAGAAUACCAAGGCGCUUGAGAGAACUCGGGUGAAGGAACUAGGCAAAAUGGUGCCGUAACUUCGGGAGAAGGCACGCUGAUAUGUAGGUGAAGUCCCUCGCGGAUGGAGCUGAAAUCAGUCGAAGAUACCAGCUGGCUGCAACUGUUUAUUAAAAACACAGCACUGUGCAAACACGAAAGUGGACGUAUACGGUGUGACGCCUGCCCGGUGCCGGAAGGUUAAUUGAUGGGGUCAGCGCAAGCGAAGCUCUUGAUCGAAGCCCCGGUAAACGGCGGCCGUAACUAUAACGGUCCUAAGGUAGCGAAAUUCCUUGUCGGGUAAGUUCCGACCUGCACGAAUGGCGUAAUGAUGGCCAGGCUGUCUCCACCCGAGACUCAGUGAAAUUGAACUCGCUGUGAAGAUGCAGUGUACCCGCGGCAAGACGGAAAGACCCCGUGAACCUUUACUAUAGCUUGACACUGAACAUUGAGCCUUGAUGUGUAGGAUAGGUGGGAGGCUUUGAAGUGUGGACGCCAGUCUGCAUGGAGCCGACCUUGAAAUACCACCCUUUAAUGUUUGAUGUUCUAACGUGGACCCGUGAUCCGGGUUGCGGACAGUGUCUGGUGGGUAGUUUGACUGGGGCGGUCUCCUCCUAAAGAGUAACGGAGGAGCACGAAGGUUGGCUAAUCCUGGUCGGACAUCAGGAGGUUAGUGCAAUGGCAUAAGCCAGCUUGACUGCGAGCGUGACGGCGCGAGCAGGUGCGAAAGCAGGUCAUAGUGAUCCGGUGGUUCUGAAUGGAAGGGCCAUCGCUCAACGGAUAAAAGGUACUCCGGGGAUAACAGGCUGAUACCGCCCAAGAGUUCAUAUCGACGGCGGUGUUUGGCACCUCGAUGUCGGCUCAUCACAUCCUGGGGCUGAAGUAGGUCCCAAGGGUAUGGCUGUUCGCCAUUUAAAGUGGUACGCGAGCUGGGUUUAGAACGUCGUGAGACAGUUCGGUCCCUAUCUGCCGUGGGCGCUGGAGAACUGAGGGGGGCUGCUCCUAGUACGAGAGGACCGGAGUGGACGCAUCACUGGUGUUCGGGUUGUCAUGCCAAUGGCACUGCCCGGUAGCUAAAUGCGGAAGAGAUAAGUGCUGAAAGCAUCUAAGCACGAAACUUGCCCCGAGAUGAGUUCUCCCUGACCCUUUAAGGGUCCUGAAGGAACGUUGAAGACGACGACGUUGAUAGGCCGGGUGUGUAAGCGCAGCGAUGCGUUGAGCUAACCGGUACUAAUGAACCGUGAGGCUUAACCUUACAACGCCGAAGGUGUUU
This 2378-nucleotide ribosomal RNA is filed under the name Escherichia coli. Its description in RNAcentral is "partial 23S ribosomal RNA". It matches the Rfam family "Bacterial large subunit ribosomal RNA", at positions 584 to 2925 of the family's 2925-position model. Lineage: Bacteria; Pseudomonadati; Pseudomonadota; Gammaproteobacteria; Enterobacterales; Enterobacteriaceae. The record is from RNAcentral.